UAGGGAAUAUUGGUCAAUGGGGGAAACCCUGAACCAGCGACGUCGCGUGUGUGAUGAAGGCCUUAGGGUCGUAAAACACUGUGGUGCGAGACGAUUAUGACGGUAUCGCACUAGAAAGGACCGGCCAACUUCGUGCCAGCAGCCGCGGUAAGACGAGGGGUCCUAGCGUUGUUCGGAAUUACUGGGCAUAAAGCGGAUGUAGGUGGGUGUUCAAGUCAGAUGUGAAAUCCCAGAGCUAAACUCUGGAACUGCAUUUGAUACUGUUCAUCUUGAGUAUUUGAGGGGGUAGUAGAAUUCCUGAUGUAGUGGUGAAAUACGUAGAUAUCAGGAGGAAUACCAGUGGCGAAGGCGACUACCUGGCGAAUUACUGACACUGAGAUCCGAAAGCGUGGGGAGCAAACAGG
This 404-nucleotide ribosomal RNA is filed under the name uncultured Bdellovibrio sp. RNAcentral describes it as "bacterial SSU rRNA". It matches the Rfam family "Bacterial small subunit ribosomal RNA", at positions 355 to 776 of the family's 1533-position model. The record is from RNAcentral. Lineage: Bacteria; Pseudomonadati; Bdellovibrionota; Bdellovibrionia; Bdellovibrionales; Pseudobdellovibrionaceae.